This 395-nucleotide unclassified non-coding RNA is filed under the name soil metagenome. Its description in RNAcentral is "partial contains 5.8S ribosomal RNA, internal transcribed spacer 2, and large subunit ribosomal RNA". The stretch from base 1 to 122 matches the Rfam family "5.8S ribosomal RNA", at positions 35 to 154 of the family's 154-position model. The record is from RNAcentral.
GAUGAAGAACGUAGCGAAAUGCGAUACUUGGUGUGAAUUGCAGAAUCCCGUGAACCAUCGAGUCUUUGAACGCAAGUUGCGCCCGAAGCCAUCAGGUUGAGGGCACGUCUGCCCGGGCGUCACAUAUCGUUGCCCAAUGCCUAUUGCAGUGCAAUAGGAAUUUCUAGGGCGAAUGAUGGCUUCCCGUGAGCGUUGUUGCCUCGCGGUUGGUUGAAAAUCGAGUCCUUGGUAGGGUGUGCCAUGGUAGAGGGUGGUCGAGUUAGAACGAUACCGAUCAUGUGCAUGCUCCCCAAAAUAUGGCAUCUAUGACCCACACGCGUCUUUUGACGCUCAUGACGAGACCUCAGGUCAGGCGGGGCUACCCGCUGAAUUUAAGCAUAUCAAUAAGCGGAGGA